AAUUGGGCAACCCCAUAGGUGGCGAUGUACGCGCGCGAGUCGCCAAUGAGCCAAGGGAGGAAGAAGUCGUCAGAGCAAGUUGUGGUGGAGUGAUGGUUGAGAGUGCAAUCUAUUCUGCUUACCCGACUCAUGCAGACUUCUGUCCUGAUGUUUGGCUGUAGUCCUUCCAUCAUCCACUCUUCUGCAACCGGUCUAUUUAUGGAGACCACCAUGAUCUAAUCUAUACAGAUCUAGUUGUCUCUUCUCCCACAAACUCCUCUUUCAGAUUUUGAGCGGAUCUCCUUCAUUCUGCCGCCAGCUCACCAGAACCUCUGGGUGCACCAGCUGUGGAUAUUACAGGCCAAACUUUGGACACCCUAGGACAACAUCCUUAGCACAGAUCUACCUAUAGCCCUCCAUCAUUCCCACAUCCAUCUUGCAACAGUUUCAUUAAGUGCAGUCCAUAACCAGUUCACGGUCUACACCUUGUCCAUUGCAAAUGUUAUGGAUUAUUCUAAUAGAGAUCUUUCUAUUAUUUUUUUGAGACUGUUAUUAUGUACUCUGUUAUGUUGUGAAUAAAGUCAAC
Carassius carassius (crucian carp) is the source of this 565-nucleotide long non-coding RNA. RefSeq lists it as uncharacterized. The record is from RefSeq and is a predicted model, not a curated record. NCBI's taxonomy places the organism in Eukaryota, Metazoa, Chordata, Actinopteri, Cypriniformes, Cyprinidae. The transcript has 4 exons.